RNAcentral lists this transfer RNA (84 nucleotides) under Geobacillus thermodenitrificans. RNAcentral describes it as "tRNA-Leu". It matches the Rfam family "tRNA". From Rfam's summary of the family: Transfer RNA (tRNA) molecules are approximately 80 nucleotides in length. Their secondary structure includes four short double-helical elements and three loops (D, anti-codon, and T loops). Further hydrogen bonds mediate the characteristic L-shaped molecular structure. tRNAs have two regions of fundamental functional importance: the anti-codon, which is responsible for specific mRNA codon recognition, and the 3' end, to which the tRNAs corresponding amino acid is attached (by aminoacyl-tRNA synthetases). tRNAs cope with the degeneracy of the genetic code in two manners: having more than one tRNA (with a specific anti-codon) for a particular amino acid; and 'wobble' base-pairing, i.e. permitting non-standard base-pairing at the 3rd anti-codon position. The record is from RNAcentral. Lineage: Bacteria; Bacillati; Bacillota; Bacilli; Caryophanales; Anoxybacillaceae.
GCCGAUGUGGCGGAACUGGCAGACGCGCACGACUCAAAAUCGUGUGGGAUUUCUCCCGUGUGGGUUCGACUCCCACCAUCGGCA